GAUGAACGCUGGCGGCAUGCCUAAGACAUGCAAGUCGUACGAAGUGGCCCAUUGAUGAUUGAGUGCUUGCACAAGAUUUGAUUUGGAUUCCCACUUAGUGGCGCAAGGGUGAGUAACGCGUAGGUUAUCUGCCUUCGAGUUUGGAAUAACAAUUAGAAAUGAUUGCUAAUGCCGGAUUAUAUUUAAGAUGAUACGUUGUCUUAAAUUAAAAGGAGCCUUUAAAGCUUCGCUUGAAGAUGAGCCUGCGUCGUAUUAGCUAGUUGGUGGGGUAAUGGCCUACCAAGGCAACGAUGCGUAGCCGACCUGAGAGGGUGAUCGGCCACACUGGGACUGAGACACGGCCCAGACUCCUACGGGAGACAGCAGUUAGGAAUAUUCGUCAAUGGGGGAAACCCUGAACGAGCAAUGCCGCGUGAAGGAUGACGGUCCUUUGGAUUGUAAACUUCUGUUGUUAGGGAAGAACAAACUGUAUAGGAAAUGAUACAGUUC
RNAcentral lists this ribosomal RNA (489 nucleotides) under uncultured bacterium. Its description in RNAcentral is "bacterial SSU rRNA". It matches the Rfam family "Bacterial small subunit ribosomal RNA", at positions 28 to 478 of the family's 1533-position model. The record is from RNAcentral.